RNAcentral lists this long non-coding RNA (205 nucleotides) under Nicotiana benthamiana. RNAcentral describes it as "long non-coding RNA (NBEN_LNC031308)". Lineage: Eukaryota; Viridiplantae; Streptophyta; Magnoliopsida; Solanales; Solanaceae. The record is from RNAcentral.
UUAGAGACUAGGUGUCAUCACGACUCCUUCGAAAGAAUUUUGGAUCGUAACAAAAAAUCCUCUGCUUGCUACAGACCUCGUGGCAUGACCCUCUAUAGCACGUUCCACCUCGUUGUAACCUUUGCGUCGCCAGCUCCAUCGCGAGGUAAAUUAUCGCGCCGCAUGCUCUAUAACGAUCUAGAUUGCUCGCGUCGCCCACUCUGUC